RNAcentral lists this ribosomal RNA (300 nucleotides) under uncultured bacterium. RNAcentral's name for it is "bacterial SSU rRNA". It matches the Rfam family "Bacterial small subunit ribosomal RNA", at positions 495 to 795 of the family's 1533-position model. The record is from RNAcentral.
GGUAAGUCUGGUGCAGCGGCCGGGGUAAUACCGGGGUUGCAAGCGUUAAUCGGGUUGACUGGGAGGAAAUCGUGCGUAGGAGGUUCAUUAAGUCGGUUGUGAAAUCCCUGGGCUUAACCGGGGAACUGCAGUGGAUACUGGUGAACUAGAGUGCGGUAGAGGGUGGCGGAACUCCGGGUGUAGCGGUGAAAUGCGUAGAUAUCCGGAAGAACACCGAUGGCGAAGGCAACCACCUGGGCCUGCACUGACGCUGAGGUACGAAAGCGUGGGGAGCAAACAGGAUUAGAUACCCGUGUAGUC